ACUCCUACGGGAGGCAGCAGUGGGAAUAUUGCACAAUGGGCGACAGCCUGAUGCAGCAACGCCGCGUGAAGGAUGAAGGGUUUCGGCUCGUAAACUUCUAUCAACAGGGACGAAAAAUGACGGUACCUGAAUAAGAAGCCCGGCUAACUACGUGCCAGCAGCCGCGGUAAUACGGAGGGUGCAAGCGUUAAUCGGAAUUACUGGGCGUAAAGCGUGCGCAGGCGGUCUGUUAAGCGAGAUGUGAAAGCCCCGGGCUCAACCUGGGAACUGCAUUUCGAACUGGCAGACUAGAGUCUUGUAGA
RNAcentral lists this ribosomal RNA (302 nucleotides) under uncultured bacterium. RNAcentral describes it as "bacterial SSU rRNA". It matches the Rfam family "Bacterial small subunit ribosomal RNA", at positions 335 to 655 of the family's 1533-position model. The record is from RNAcentral.